CCUCAGUAACGGCGAGUGAAGCGGCAACAGCUCAAAUUUGAAAUCUGGCUCCUUCGGGGCCCGAGUUGUAAUUUGCAGAGGAUGCGUCGGGUACGGGUGCCUUCCGAGUUCCCUGGAACGGGACGCCAUAGAGGGUGAGAGCCCCGUCUGGUAGGACACCCAGCCCGUGUGAUGCUCCCUCGACGAGUCGAGUAGUUUGGGAAUGCUGCUCUAACGGGAGGUAUACUCCUUCCAAGGCUAAAUACCGGCUGGAGACCGAUAGCGCACAAGUAGAGUGAUCGAAAGAUGAAAAGCACUUUGAAAAGAGAGUCAAAUAGCACGUGAAAUUGUUAAAAGGGAAGCGCUCGCUACCAGACUUGGGUUCGGCGGUUCAACCGGGGCCACGCCCCGGGGCACUCCGCCGUCCCAGGCCAGCAUCAGCUCUCCGUCGGGGGCAAAGGCGUCGGGAAUGUGGCUCUCCUUCGGGGGAGUGUUAUAGCCCGGCGUGUCAUACCCUUCGGGGGGCUGAGGUACGCGCUUCUGCAAGGAU
This 529-nucleotide ribosomal RNA is filed under the name Brunneochlamydosporium cibotii. Its description in RNAcentral is "LSU rRNA". It matches the Rfam family "Eukaryotic large subunit ribosomal RNA", at positions 78 to 624 of the family's 3401-position model. Lineage: Eukaryota; Fungi; Ascomycota; Sordariomycetes; Glomerellales; Plectosphaerellaceae. The record is from RNAcentral.